RNAcentral lists this long non-coding RNA (1943 nucleotides) under Volvox carteri. RNAcentral's name for it is "long non-coding RNA (VCAR_LNC000331)". The record is from RNAcentral. Lineage: Eukaryota; Viridiplantae; Chlorophyta; Chlorophyceae; Chlamydomonadales; Volvocaceae.
CAUAUAAGCGCGCAGAAACGAACGCGACAAAUUAUAUGCAGAACUAAUAAGAUUCCAUCCAUUCAGAGAAUAGAACAGCAUACAUUUUUGGGCACUCACGCUGGAGCUGUGUGUAGGCUGACUAUGGGUACUCAACCGUUAAACGUCAUAGAAAAAAGCAUGCCCUUCUCAAAUACAUUUGAAUACUAGAAAAGUAGUGUUCGAGGAGGUUUAUGUGCAUAAUCAGCAGCGGCAAAAAGCGUGUCGCGCUGGCAUCAACGGGAUCCAGGAGGGCAUAUACAGAGUCUGCUGCAAGAAAUUGCAUGCUGAUACUGUAAGAUAUUGAAUCUUGGUCUGAAAUGAAGGACUUGUGGCAAGUUAAGUAGUCCUGCUCUCUAGUCUCUAGGGUGCCAAGCUGUUUAAACGGCUGAAUGCUAUGGACAUCGGACAAGCAUUUGCCUGUUGGAUUACAUCUACCCAGUGAAGUAUAGCUCGGUGUCAUCUAUUGCAACAUUCUUGUUGACGAAUCAACUUUAAGGCUGCUAUGCUUCCUAGAAAAAUCUUCAUUUCAUCUUUUUUGUAUUGGCUGCUGCUGCAGGUUCCCUAACAUUCACAGCUCUCAAGGCCCGCUGUUGCCGAAAAGGAUUUCCGGGGAGGGCUCCUUGCCGUGAACACGCGCGACUUAUCCGAGAGCCUUACACAUAAAUAUAUUGGAAGCAAUCCUCGUUGGGGGAGCUCGCUAGCGAUGAGAAUCCCGUCGCCUUUUGGAGUUGGGAAGGAAAUAUUUUACACUAUGCCGAACAGGGGCGCGAUUUAGGCGAGUCCUUCCCAAUACCCGACAUGGAGGUCCUCGCAAAUUUCCUUGAUGAAUGUCUAACAGAACAACCUGUUUUCAGUAUGUGCGGCUGUCGUAACUACCGCUACGUUUAAAUCCGAAACGGAGACACCCGCGUUUAAGCUAAUCAGUGCCAUUUUCUUUAGCUUAUGAUAAGAGGUGCCGAUGGCUUUGUAAGUCCCGAGGAUCCACGCGGAGCCGACCAUUCAUCCGAUGCGCAUUUAGGUCCUCAAGGCAUCCAGCUUAGAAAGGUGGAGGGUAGUCACCUUGCCUUCAACGUCCGCAGUGCCAGCCGCACUAUCCAGGUCGUAGCACAAGGCCCGUAGGAGUCCUGCAGCCCAUUCCCCGGCAACACAAGACGUAACUCCUUAAACACACGAUGGUACAUGGACCCUUCUGGAUCAACCAGUUUAAGGCUAGCCUAGCCCAGAAGAAAUGAAGGGGGUGCUGAUUAACUUUCCGGAAAAAUACGUGCAUUCGGAGCGGUUUCCACGUAUAUCAGUGAGCAAAGGAACGUACCCUGUAGCCCGACCAUCCGAUCCGUUUGAUGGGAUGCCUAGAUGCGGACGCAUGUAUGCUCGUAUGCACGAGCUCCCUAUCCCGGCCUUCCUAAUUCCCAACAUCGCUAGCCCAGUAAUCUGCCAUACGAGAAUACUUACAAAUAGUCUCGAUGACACGGCGGCAGUCAUACAGGUGUUCGCCCCAAUCAUCCUGCGUGGGCGAAAUGUAGUCCCUAAGUGUCUCCUCCAGUAAGCAAUUCAUUCGCUUGGUUUGACCAUCCGUCUAUGGGCGAUAGGCUGUGCUCAUAUAGAGGUGGGUGCCUAUGAGGCGAAGAGUUUCCUUACUGAAGUGGCUUGUAAAGAGUGUGUCCCAGUCAGACACAAUAUUCUGCGUAAGGCCGUGCUGCCUAAAAACCGUAGCCAUAAAAAACCGGGCUAGCUCUACCGCACCGACGGGUGUAGUUGUGGGAGCAACAUGCAUCAUUUUGCUCAGGUCGUCCACGAAUACAACUAUCGCGUCUAUGCCCAAUCCGGGUUGGUGGUAGCUGUGUGACCAAAUCCAUUGACACACUCUCCCAGACAUUACCUGGAAUGGGAAGGGGAUGCAGCAGUUUGCCUGGCUUUUGGUU